This is an RNA transcript of Mizuhopecten yessoensis (Yesso scallop), 3557 nucleotides long. It is a transcript of the gene named vacuolar protein-sorting-associated protein 25-like, with no coding region annotated. The transcript has 7 exons. Lineage: Eukaryota; Metazoa; Mollusca; Bivalvia; Pectinida; Pectinidae. The record is from RefSeq and is a predicted model, not a curated record.
GUCAGCGGCAUCUCUAUCAUCAUGGCGGACAUAGAAUGGCCAUGGCAAUACCAGUUUCCUCCUUUCUUCACAAUUCAGCCCAACAUUGAAACUCGGAAGAAACAAAUUGAAGCUUGGUGUUCCCUUGUCUUGUCCUACACCCGCCAGCAGAAAACCUACAGCAUUGACGUGAGAGAGUCACAGAACUCGCCACUGUUUAACAACAAAGCCAUCAACCGCAAGCUGUCUAUGGAUUGUAUCCUGACUGUGCUGGAAGAACUUAGAAAAACAGGACACUUGGAAUGGACCGAUAACAAGACAAAGAAACAAUGUCUUGUAAUGUGGAGAACACCAGAGGAAUGGGGAAAGCUUAUAUACAGCUGGAUCUGUAGUCGCAGUAUGAACAACACGGUGUGUACACUUUUUGAACUGACUGAAGGAGAGGAAUCUGAAGGAACUGAGUUCCAUGGACUGGAGAAUUGGUUACUUCUACGCGCCCUCAAAUCACUGGAAAGUCAAGAACUUGCUGAACUGAUGUCGUUUGAUGGCAGCGACGGUGUCAAGUUUUUCUGAGAUCAGACAUGUCAUAGACUUUCGGCCCGAGCAGGGAUCACAAAUCGGACAUGCUGUAGACAUUCGGCCUGAGCAGGGAUCACAAAUUCGACAUGUCAUAGACUUUCGGCCCAAGCAGGGAUCACAAAUCGGACAUGUGAAAAACAUUUUUCAGCAGAAUGUGAUCAAUCUGGAACAUGUGAAAUUGUUUUAUUUUCAGAAAAUAUUAUUUGUAAAUCGAAAGGAAGUUUUAUUACCGGGCCGUAAUGGAGAGGAUAUGAAGAUUCUACCUGCAGAGUUUUUGUACUCCCUUUGUUGGGUGUUUUAUUGAAAUAUAAAAGCAAGACUCUCUCAUUGUGAUAAUGAAGUUGCAAUGGGAAUGAAACAGUGAUCCGGAAACAAGAGUUCUGACGUCCUAGUUUACAACUGACGUCCAAAGGUUUAUAAACUGUUAUGUAGAGCAGAUGUGAAUAUUAGUCUACACAAAUUAAGAAAUCAGUAACAUGUAAGAAAGUUAAACACAUUGUACAAUCUCAUAGAAUUUGUAUUUGUGUUUAUAAUACACAUAUCUACAGUAUUGUGUUCAUGAUGAUCUGCAAUGAAUACACCCGUCAUAAUUUGUGUAUGAUGUCAUGCGCUAACACUUACUGUGACGUCAUAACCAAGACAAUAAAUAUGACGUAAUGACAUUGUGACAUUGCAUUAAAGACAAUAUAAAUGAAUUCAAAAUAACAACAUUGAUACAAGUAUAUUAGGAUAAGAGAAAAAGUGCUUUUUACAAACAUUAACAUUCAAACCUGUAUCAAGAGACCACUGAUAGGAAGUCCAUAAAGUGGUAUCUUAAUGCAAGUUACAGUCAUAAUGAAAUCACUAAAGAGGAACCUGAAAAGUGGCCACCAAAUACAGGUGGUCUCUUCAUACAGGUGGUCUCUUCAUACAGGUGGCCUCUUAAUGCAGGUGCCUCUUAAUGCAGGUGGUCUCUUCAUACAGGUGGCUUCUUCAUGCAGGUGGCCUCUUCAUACAGGUGGCCUCUUAAUGCAGGUGGCCUCUUAAUGCAGGUGGUCUCUUCAUGCAGGUGGCCUCUUAAUGCAGGUGGCCUCUUAAUGCAGGUGGUCUCUUAAUACAGGUGGUCUUUUCAUAUAGGUUCAAUUCACAAUAAAAUCAAUUAAACAUUAAAAGUGGCUUCCUAACACAGGUACCUAAUGGAGAUGGUCACAUGAAAAGAUUUGACUGUACAUAUAUUCUUGGUCAUAUGAAGAAAAUGAUGAAUAUGAAGGUGUUUUUUUUAGAUUGUAAAAAAAAAUGUCGAAACUCAUUCCAUAAAUUCUGUUGAAGCUCCGAUAUUCAUAAUCUUCUGCAGAUAGAAAUUUCCUAUUGGUACUGUUUACAUGUGUGUAUCGUGUAUGGAUACCAUUUAUCCUACUUUUUCUGUUCUGAACCUAUUCAGUAUACCUAUAUGCACACUUUUAUCUCAUCAAGGGAGUAAAACUUGUCUAGUCUGACCUCUGAGUAUUCUGACAUCCUGUAUCAUCCAAUGUAAUACUGUUAUCCCAUUUAUAACAAAUAUCUCCAUAUAAAACCUGUGUAUUUCAAUCACUCAAAUAAACAUUGACGUCUUGUUUGACAUGUAAAACAGAAAGUUACAUUAUCUCCUACUCCCAGUGACAAUGUGUGGGUACAUGUAUAUCAUCAGUAGGUGACCUCUUAACAGAAGCAACAUCAAAGAUUGUGUCUUCUGGUCUAGCUGUUUAUUCAAGAUUUCUGUGGGGAAAAUGACGUGCUCUUAAUGUUAAAACCUCAGUGAAAUCAUUUUAAAUAAUUUAUUUUAAAUUGAAAGGCAUUUUUUUCACGAGUAUUGCUUUAUACUGAGUAACUGUGCAAAAGUUUUAAAACUGUAAUUAUGUGUGAAACGAUGUUCUGUGUCUAAAUUAUUACGGAAGUGUAUGGCCUAGAAUUGUACAUAAAAUAAGAUACAUUUUGUGUAUUGUGUUUCGUAAUACGAUACAUUUUGUGUAUUGUGAAAUGUUCUAUAAAUCAUGCUUAUAUAUAUAUAUGUUGUGUAUGUACUAAAAAUUGUACAUAUAUCUGUAUAAUAAUCUUUAAAGUGUCUAUAGCUAGGAAUAGUACAGAAACUUUCACAGUGAAACCUGACUUUACUGACACCUGACUUUAAGGACAGCCUGCAGUAAUAUACAGUAAAACUUGACUUUGCUGGCACCUGACUAUAAGGACAUUCUGUAAUAUACAGUAAAACUUGACCUUGCUGGCACCUGACUUUAAGGACAGCCUGUAAUAUACAGUAAAACCUGACUUUACUGACACCUGACUGUAAGGAAAUUCUGUAAUAUACAGUAAAACUUGACCUUGCUGGCACCUGACUUAAGGACAUCCUGUAAUAUACAGUAAAACCUGACUUUACUGGCACCUGACUUUAAGGACAUCUUGUAAUAUACAUUACGACCAGACUUUACUUGCAUGUGACUUUACUGACACCUGACUUAGACAUGUUUAACAUCUAAUGUGAUUUUAUGGCCUUAAAUAAUUGGUUCUCGGUCUAUAAUGCAGAUUUUACAGAAAGGUUUUUAAACCAAAUGAUUAAAACUUGUUGCUGGUAAAGACAGGUUUCAUUGUGUAAGUUUGGAAUGUUUUCAGAUAGUGCAGAUAUCAUUUUGCCAUUUUGUAGUAAUGGUUACAUGUACAAUGUCAUCUGUGUUACUAUGGUUACAAUGUCAUCUGUGUUACUAUGGUUACAAUGUCAUCUGUGUUACUAUGGUUACCAUAUCAUCUGUGUUACUAUGGUAACAAUAACAUCUGUGUAACUAUGGUUACCGUGUCAUGGUUUAUCACAGCUGUACCAUUUGACCUUGAUAAUGGUUACCAUGACAGCAUUUGUUACAUGGUGUUACCAUGGUUACAAUAUCAUAGGUGCCAUAAUGCUGAUCAUGUCUUUAGUUGUUAUAAAAAAAAAUCAGAUUCUGGUACCAAUACCUAAAAUGAAUUCAAUAAAUUAAAGAAAUAUUAAAGAC